AACGGCCAUAUCACGUCGAAACACCGGUUCUCGUACGAUCACCGAAGUUAAGCAACGUCGAGAGCGCUCACUAUCUAGAUAGGUGACCACUACAGAAUACGAGGUACUGUAAG
Molecule: non-coding RNA, 113 nt
Organism: Acanthosepion pharaonis
Lineage: Eukaryota; Metazoa; Mollusca; Cephalopoda; Sepiida; Sepiidae
Source: the annotation of a GenBank genome assembly